Molecule: long non-coding RNA, 663 nt
Filed under: Equus caballus (horse)
Lineage: Eukaryota; Metazoa; Chordata; Mammalia; Perissodactyla; Equidae
Description: lncRNA (ENSECAG00000059117.1)
Source: RNAcentral
GCCAAACGUGUUCGCAUGAAGAGACCUAGCAAUAAAACAUGAAAGGCUCAAAGAUGGCAGAGCCCGCCAAUGGAAGGACCCUGAAUGCCUGAGCUCCCACUCAAGGAGAGCUAUCCAGGAGAGCUGCCCGACCAGGAAUCUCCACUGUGGACUUUUGGCCUGGGGACCAUACAGGACCUGCUUAAACUUGAAAAACAGAAUUCUGCUUUCAAAUUGCUCCUGAACCCACAAGACUCUUCCAAGUUCUUUAAAAUCCGUCCAUUCCUGUGCGCCCCCUCCUCAGAGCCUGGACCGUAGUCUUCAGUUACUUGGAGUUUGGUACCUGAAGACUGCCAUCGUCUCCGGGACCCCACUCCUUUCCAGUGUAUUCAGGGCCAAGCCCUGUUGCCUCUCUCUAUGCAGCCUCCACCUGGGGCCCUCUGCCCAACUUUCCUGGCUGCUACCUCUGGGGGUCGAGCUUCCUCUCCUGGUUUGCUGCAGCCACUUCCUCACUGGCCCCUGCCUCCAGCAUCCCCCUCCCACCCGGGGAUCCUGCAGGCUGCGUUCUUUAUAAUCCCUCUGAAGCAUAGCGCUCCCGACUCCUCACAAGUCUGCUGGAAAACUUUCCACGUCUUUGUUGGCCUUGACCCCGAAUUGUCGAUGAUUUUCUGAUGGAAUCAGAGC